Molecule: long non-coding RNA, 1307 nt
Organism: Cyprinus carpio (common carp)
Lineage: Eukaryota; Metazoa; Chordata; Actinopteri; Cypriniformes; Cyprinidae
Source: RefSeq, a predicted model, not a curated record
GAACUACCGGGUUUAAACAAAUAUCUGAGAACAAUCGAAGCCCAGUCAAUAAUGCACCGCUCACCAUAUUUGAUUAUGUCACUCCAACAAGCACCUUCACCACUGAAAUCUUCAGAAAGUGUCCGGGUUGCUCUUCAGGGCUCCAGAAAUGAAUUUACUGAUAAUAUUUCCGACGUGGCAGACAGCGCUCGGUUCGGACUGCGUCCCCGCUGCUAAACGCUCCGAGUGGAACGAAAUAAAGGUUCCGCUUAAUGUUUCCCAUCCGCGCCCUGCAUUUCACAUCGAGUCCAGCAGAUGACAGCAAAGCAAGUUAAAUUAAAAACAUAUCGCUCGUCUCUAUUUAUAAACUGUACAAAAAGGUCAUAUGUUCCAGCCUCUCCAGUGUCCAGCCAGGCACUAUGAUCUUCAUCAAGCUCAGCUUUCUGUAUUAAUUUUUACAUCGCCAUAAAGUGCAGUAUUCAGGAGGUUAAGAACCCCAAACCCUCCGAGUCGGUGAGAAUUCUCUCAUUGCUGUGCCUUGAAGAAAUUGGAAGGUUAAUGAACUUUGAGGGGCAGAAGGAACUGAAGGGAGUCAUAAUGGGAGCCUUCGGUUCUCCUAAUGAGGAAGUCAAGUCUGCCGCAUCUCUUGCUUUGGGGGAGUAUCUGCCAUUCAUGCUCAAGGAGAUCAUCAGCCAGCCGAAGAGACAGAAUCUGCUUCUACACUCCCUCAAAGAAAUGAUCAGCACUCUGUCAGCCGACACUCUCAAGCCUCAUGUGGAGAACAUCUGGGCUUUGCUGUUCAAGCGCUGUGAAAGUAAUAUUGUAGCCGAAUGUUUGGGGAAACUCACAUUGGUCAGUCCAUCUGAACUCCUACCAAGGCUAAAAAAAACAACUGUCCUCGGGGUCUCCUUUUUCUCGUAGUGAAGUUGUAACUGCAGUGAAGUUCACCAUCGUAGACCACGCCAUGCCCAUAGACUCACUUCUCAAAGGAUGCAUUGGUGACUUCCUGAAAACACUCCAGGAUCCUGACCUCAAUGUUCGGCGAGUGGCUUUGGUCAUGUUUAAUUCAGCCGCCCACAACAAACCCUCCCUGAUCUGUGGACUUCUGACAUCACUUCUGACUCACACAUCUAUACGAGACACAAAUCAGAAAAGACCUUGUCAGAGAGAUACAAAUUAUGAGCGGUAAAAUCACAAGAAAAUGCUAUAUAAAACAAUUGUUGUGUGUAAAAUAUUGGAAACUGAUGAAAAACAAAAAAAAAAACAGUAAAAAAUUCAAAUUCUUUGUGAAAUUUGACAAACUGAAAUUAUGGAGCGUUUAAUCACGA